RNAcentral lists this ribosomal RNA (253 nucleotides) under uncultured bacterium. RNAcentral describes it as "partial 16S ribosomal RNA". It matches the Rfam family "Bacterial small subunit ribosomal RNA", at positions 524 to 776 of the family's 1533-position model. The record is from RNAcentral.
GACAGAGGGCUCAAACGUUGUUCGGAAUUACUGGGCAUAAAGCGCACGCAGGCGGCUUGCUAAGUCGGGUGUGAAACCCCUUGGCUCAACCGAGGAACUGCAUUCGAUACUGGUAGGCUCGAGGACGGGAGGGGUAAGCGGAACUCCAGGUGUAGCGGUGAAAUGCGUAGAUAUCUGGAGGAACACCGGUGGCGAAGGCGGCAUUCUGGACCAAUACUGACGCUGAGGAGCGAAAGCCAGGGGAGCAAACGGG